RNAcentral lists this long non-coding RNA (1132 nucleotides) under Ficedula albicollis (Collared flycatcher). RNAcentral describes it as "lncRNA (ENSFALG00000024000.1)". The record is from RNAcentral. Lineage: Eukaryota; Metazoa; Chordata; Aves; Passeriformes; Muscicapidae.
AGAAGCUGUAUGAAACGACUCUUGCUGAAAUGAAAAAGUUGGGAUUUUUGGAAGAAAAAGAUAACUUAGGGGCCAGUGGAUUAGAUGACCUCAAGAGAUCCCUCCCAACAUAAAAAAUUCCAUGAUUCUCUGAUAGAUAUUUCAUAUAUUAUAUGUUCUAUACCUCAUAAAUUGAAUAAACCAUAUAUUUUAUUCUACUGAUAAAUAUUAAUUAUUGUUAAAUAUAUGUUCAUUACACAUUAUGCAAUUUUAUGCAUUGUAUUUUACAUACUGUAUCAUGCAAAUAAAACAAAAUAAAAUUAAGCAAAAGCUAAUGUGCCUAUUUUUCUUUAAAUAAAGUUGCAAACUAAAGAAGUACUGGCAAAAAAAAUAGUAAGAUAGAGAUGUUUCUGUGCUCUUGAUGGAGUAUUUUACCAGCACAGUCUCCAAUUCAAUGUCUAUAGUGACAACAGAGGAGUAGCCACUAUGACUAUGAGUACUGCAAUUCCUUAUGCAAACAGAUCACUCUAUGUGUCUAAACAUAUAGACACACACAAACACAUGACAAACUAGUCCCAACACAACACUGGUUCAUUUCUAUUUAUCAUUCUGAGUGCAGUCACACCUUUCCACCUCUCCUGAAGGUCAUGAAUUGGCAUUUGGUGGGGGGAUGGAUGUGCAUUUCUAGCCUCCAAAAAUUUUGAAAAAGGGAGACUGCAACUGCUUUCUGGCCAAGCAUUAACUGCAGGCUGCUGGAUAGAAACUGAGUAGUCACGGCCUUCGCAGGCGGAGCGUGGGAGGUGAAAUGCACCGUCAGUGAAUGAGGUUGCCGGGCAAGACACACACACACACACCCACACAGCAGCUGCUACCGCUGCUCCUGUCAAUAGCCCCACCAUCUGAAGGAGUCAGGCUUUUUCAAAGGGCUAGCAAUUCACUCCCUGCUGCUGCUGACCCCAAGGCCCCCAGUGUAGCCCCUAACUUUGCUCUAAGGUGCAUACACAAGAGGUGACAGAAGCCACAAAGCCACUCAGCCAUGCUGAGGCAGCCAACCACAGGUAAGCAGACAGGUUUAGCUGAUUAUUACAGGCUGAAUGAACCUGAUGGCUGGAAGAGGCUGACAUUUCAGGAUUGGUCAGCUCAGAUACAUGAA